UUUAUAUUUUUUUACUAAAAUACAUAAAUUAUUUAAUUUCUAAUAAAAUUAUUGUGAAUAGGUAUAGCGUAUAUAAUAUUAUACUAUUUUAAAGAAUUUACUUUUAAGUGCCUGUACAUGUGAGUACAAAAAAUAGGUCAGACUAAGAACAUGAAAUGUGAUAUAAAUACAAAAUAAUGGGUAAAAAUCCUGUCAAAAUAGUUAUUUUCGAUACAAAGCCAGUGCCAUUACCCAGUGAUUUAUUGCAGGUACCAAUAUUUUGAAGGGAUUUUUACUCAUACGAGUAUAGUAAGUUAUAAUUAAUAAAUUAUAAUAAUGUUAAAAUUAAGUUUUUAUUUGACAGCUUGAUGGAGUCAACUUUUAUUUAA
Cydia amplana is the source of this 368-nucleotide long non-coding RNA. RefSeq lists it as uncharacterized. The transcript is spliced from 2 exons. Lineage: Eukaryota; Metazoa; Arthropoda; Insecta; Lepidoptera; Tortricidae. The record is from RefSeq and is a predicted model, not a curated record.